CGAGUCUUAAUUGGGCGUUAAGUUGCAGGGUAUAGACCCGAAACCCGGUGAUCUAGCCAUGGGCAGGUUGAAGGUUGGGUAACACUAACUGGAGGACCGAACCGACUAAUGUUGAAAAAUUAGCGGAUGACCUGUGGCUGGGGGUGAAAGGCCAAUCAAACCGGGAGAUAGCUGGUUCUCCCCGAAAGCUAUUUAGGUAGCGCCUCGUGAAUUCAUCUCCGGGGGUAGAGCACUGUUUCGGCUAGGGGGCCAUCCCGGCUUACCAACCCGAUGCAAACUGCGAAUACCGGAGAAUGUUAUCACGGGAGACACACGGCGGGUGCUAACGUCCGUCGUGAAGAGGGAAACAACCCAGACCGCCAGCUAAGGUCCCAAAGUCAUGGUUAAGUGGGAAACGAUGUGGGAAGGCCCAGACAGCCAGGAUGUUGGCUUAGAAGCAGCCAUCAUUUAAAGAAAGCGUAAUAGCUCACUGGUCGAGUCGGCCUGCGCGGAAGAUGUAACGGGGCUAAACCAUGCACCGAAGCUGCGGCAGCGAACGUAUCACCCAAGACAACUUUACGGAGUUGACGAUUGACGGAGCGAAGCGACGUCAAAGCGUUCAUUAAAGUCGAGUUGGCUUAGGGAUACGUUCGUUGGGUAGGGGAGCGUUCUGUAAGCCUGUGAAGGUGUGUCGUGAGGCAUGCUGGAGGUAUCAGAAGUGCGAAUGCUGACAUAAGUAACGAUAAAGCGGGUGAAAAGCCCGCUCGCCGGAAGACCAAGGGUUCCUGUCCAACGUUAAUCGGGGCAGGGUGAGUCGACCCCUAAGGCGAGGCCGAAAGGCGUAGUCGAUGGGAAACGGGUUAAUAUUCCCGUACUUGGUGUUACUGCGAAGGGGGGACGGAGAAGGCUAUGUUGGCCGGGCGACGGUUGUCCCGGUUUAAGCGUGUAGGUGUGUGUUCCAGGUAAAUCCGGUUCACUUUAACACUGAGGCGUGACGACGAGGCACUACGGUGCUGAAGCAACAAAUGCCC
RNAcentral lists this ribosomal RNA (1010 nucleotides) under Salmonella enterica subsp. enterica serovar Typhimurium. RNAcentral's name for it is "partial 23S ribosomal RNA". It matches the Rfam family "Bacterial large subunit ribosomal RNA", at positions 678 to 1602 of the family's 2925-position model. The record is from RNAcentral. Lineage: Bacteria; Pseudomonadati; Pseudomonadota; Gammaproteobacteria; Enterobacterales; Enterobacteriaceae.